Molecule: ribosomal RNA, 1094 nt
Filed under: uncultured bacterium
Lineage: Bacteria
Description: bacterial SSU rRNA
Rfam family: Bacterial small subunit ribosomal RNA
Source: RNAcentral
GGAUAGCGGCGGGAAACUGCCGGUAAUACGCCAUGAUCUCUCCGGAGCAAAGGUUUACCGCCUUGGGAGCGGCGAUCGUCCUAUCAGGUAGUUGGCGGGGUAAAAGCCCACCAAGCCGAAGACGGGUAGCAGGUGUGAGAGCACGACCUGCGACAUCGGAACUGAGACACUGUCCGGACUCCUACGGGAGGCUGCAGUAACGAAUCUUCCGCAAUGGGCGCAAGCCUGACGGAGCAAUGCCGCGUGUGGGAUGAAGUACCUUUGGUAUGUAAACCACUGUCAGGGGACGGAACCAAUGAUUGUCCCCAGAGGAAGUGGCGACUAACUCUGUGCCAGCAGUCGCGGUAAUACAGAGGCCACGAGCGUUAGUCGGAAUCACUGGGCUUAAAGGGUGCGUAGGCGGGCGUGUAAGCGUCCUGUGAAAGCCCGCGGCUCAACCGCGGAACAGCAGGGCGAACUGCACGUCUUGAGGCAGGUAAGGGUUGCUGGAACUCUAGGUGGAGCGGUGAAAUGCGUAGAUAUCUAGAGGAACGCCGAUGGUGAAGACGAGCAACUGGGCCUGUCCUGACGCUGAGGCACGAAAGCGUGGGGAGCAAACAGGAUUAGAUACCCUGGUAGUCCACGCCGUAAACGAUGCGCACUAGACCGGUGCGGUUUUGACGCCGUAUCGGUCGUAGUAAAAACGAUAAGUGCGCCGCCUGGGGAGUACGGUCGCAAGGCUAAAACUCAAAUGAAUUGACGGGGGCUCACACAAGCGGUGGAGCAUGUUGCUUAAUUCGAGGCAACGCGAAGAACCUUACCUGGGUUUGACAUGCUUGGAUCAACUCCAUGAAAGUGGAGCCACAGUCGCAAGACCGGAACAAGCACAGGUGCUGCAUGGCUGUCGUCAGCUCGUGCUGUGAAGUGUCAGGUUAAGUCCUUUAACGAGCGCAACCCCUAUCGUUAGUUGCUCGGCGCAAGCCAGUACUCUAGCGAGACUGCCGGUGUCAAACCGGAGGAAGGUGGGGAUGACGUCAAGUCCUCAUGGCCCUUACAUCCAGGGUUGCAAACGUGCUACAAUGGUGCGCACAAAGCGACGCAAGAGCGUGAGCUGG